Molecule: transfer RNA, 65 nt
Filed under: Philaenus spumarius (meadow spittlebug)
Lineage: Eukaryota; Metazoa; Arthropoda; Insecta; Hemiptera; Aphrophoridae
Description: tRNA-Tyr
Rfam family: tRNA
About the family: Transfer RNA (tRNA) molecules are approximately 80 nucleotides in length.
Source: RNAcentral
ACUAAAGUGGCUGAAAGAGUAAUAAAUUGUAAAUUUAUAAAUGAAAUAAUAGAUUUCCUUUAGUA